RNAcentral lists this unclassified non-coding RNA (247 nucleotides) under Hevea brasiliensis (rubber tree). The record is from RNAcentral. Lineage: Eukaryota; Viridiplantae; Streptophyta; Magnoliopsida; Malpighiales; Euphorbiaceae.
AGGUAGACCCAUCUAGUUUCCAUUGAUGGAUCCCAAACAGGCUAACCACAACAAUAUUAAGCCUACUCAUGAUCAGAUAAAAGAGUUGCAGAUUUUGAAAAAUGAUGAAACGAACAAGGUGGCUGCUCCCAAAAGAAAAGAUAGGCAUACAAAAGUUGAAGGUAGAGGGAGGAGAAUACGUAUGCCGGCGCUCUGUGCAGCAAGAAUCUUCCAGCUUACGCGCGAAUUGGGUCAUAAAUCUGAUGGU